AGCGGCGGACGGGUGAGUAACGCGUGGGUAACCUGCCUCAUACAGGGGGAUAACAGUUAGAAAUGACUGCUAAUACCGCAUAAGACCACAGCACCGCAUGGUGCGGGGGUAAAAACUCCGGUGGUGUGAGAUGGACCCGCGUCUGAUUAGCUGGUUGGUAAGGUAACGGCUUACCAAGGCGACGAUCAGUAGCCGACCUGAGAGGGUGACCGGCCACAUUGGGACUGAGACACGGCCCAA
RNAcentral lists this ribosomal RNA (240 nucleotides) under uncultured bacterium. RNAcentral's name for it is "partial 16S ribosomal RNA". It matches the Rfam family "Bacterial small subunit ribosomal RNA", at positions 94 to 334 of the family's 1533-position model. The record is from RNAcentral.